This is an RNA transcript of Capsicum annuum, 1829 nucleotides long. It is a transcript of the gene named zinc finger SWIM domain-containing protein 7, with no coding region annotated. The transcript is spliced from 6 exons. Lineage: Eukaryota; Viridiplantae; Streptophyta; Magnoliopsida; Solanales; Solanaceae. The record is from RefSeq and is a predicted model, not a curated record.
AGUUACAGGUCAUUUGAACGGAGCGGAGCUGCCUCCUUUACUUUUAGGUUUUGAGGAUGAGCACUAGUGCAAUAGUUGCGGAGAAAGUGUGGAAAGAUAUCCAAUCGACUCAUUCAGGUCUCUUCUUGACCUCGGAGUCAUAUUUGGUUUAUAUCAUAUUUGAGUCUCUUCAUUUCCUAUUUUGUUUUGGUUUUCAAUUUUUCAUGUUCUGGAUGGAUUGGUGCAGUGAGCGAUGAGCAACUCUCCAUGUCGAUUGCAUUUCUUGUUUGGGAAAAAUUUGGAGAGAGCAACGAGAAUAGUUGAUCAAAGAGGUGUGAAGAGGAUCUUGGGUGAGCCCAGUGGUCGUUCCAUCUUUCAGGUUGUGGGAGAGUCAAAGAGGAAGGAGGAAUAUUUAUGCUUUGCAGAACAUUAUUGUGCCUGUUAUUCUUUCUUCUAUGACAUUGUAAACAGAGGGGAGCAGCUUUGUUGUAAGCAUCAAUUAGCUGCCAGACUUGCUUCUUCGUUGGGAACAUGUAUUGAUGUUAACAUGUCUGACGAUGACCUUGCUCUCAUCCUCUCCCAGCUUUGAAUCUUGAGCUUCUUCCAGAUGGCCAUUCUAGAACAAAUCAAUUUCUAUAAGCCAUCCGUGUUGAAAUGGAAGGGGAGCCAUGGAGCAACUGGUAAAGUUGCUUCCAUGUGACCAGGAGGUCACAAGUUCAGGCCGUGGAAGCUUUGGCAGAAAUACGAGUACAAUAGGCCCUUGUGGUGUGGCCCUUCUAUGGUUCGUGCGCAUAGUGAAAGUUCUAGUGCACCGAGAUGCCCUUUUUCAUCGGUAUUGAAAUGAUCAGUUCUUAAACAAAGGCCAAAUCAUGUGGAUGUUCAGCUGGCUGAAGGUGCUCGUAUAACUUUUCUGAUGAUUAUAAUGUUAAUGUUCACGUAAGUUUAAAAACCACAGUUGUCUGCAUUUUGUUUUGAUACUAAAAUCAUUGCAGAUGGAUGUUGGUGUAUUUCUCCUUUUGGGCUAUUUUUCGCAAUAAUACGUUCUUAUGAGAUUGCUAUAUGUUUUCAGAGAAAGAUCAGGUUUCUAAGUUAGUUGAUGAUAAUCUCGUUUUCUUUUUCCUAUUCGUGCAAGCUUGUAAGCACCUCGAAUACCUACCUCCCACCAGCAUAUGUUCUGGGUAACUCUGCCCUCUAAAGCUUAGUCAGAUGGGAAGAAAUCACAUAAUGUUUUUUGUAUUUGUUUGGAUUUCAGAUUUGAAUCCUUGUCUCCAAUUCUUGGUUGCAAGUUUCUUUUUUGGUCCUCAGAAUGAAUUGACUGUCGAAGACCUUAUCAUUCUAGUUUUAUUCCAGGACAGAAAUUGAGGCUAUCACUUUACCUCUUAAUAGCUUAAGGUUGAAGCAGCAUCUUGUCCUAUAAGAAAUCCAACGAAUCAUAUGCUUUUAUAGUUCUCAAUGAUUACGAUUUGGGUUUUGGAACCACUGCAUUGUUUAAGAGGACCACGUCCUUUUGGAACUUACGACAAAGUAAUCAGAUGACGAGGAUUCUCUGCAUUGCACCUAGUGUACUUUUAAAUAUCUUGCUAAAAGAGGGAUCAAUAUCUGAUCUCAUUUGUUUGGUUGAUGUACAUGGUGAAGAAAAUAUCUGGUGAUAUCACUGUUUCAGUAACUUCUAAAGCUGUCAAUAUUUUGGAAAAUUAUUCUUGUUCUAGUAUACUCAUAUUAUCAGAUGAGGAAACCCCUAAGAGAGUACUGGAUACAAUUCAUAUGUUUCAGUACUGGAAGCUUAUGUUAUUUAAUUGUACCAAGUUGCACUUUCUGAGACAAGGGUAUUGAAAUCUUGAUGUUUUUUG